This 539-nucleotide ribosomal RNA is filed under the name uncultured bacterium. RNAcentral describes it as "bacterial SSU rRNA". It matches the Rfam family "Bacterial small subunit ribosomal RNA", at positions 356 to 896 of the family's 1533-position model. The record is from RNAcentral.
GAGGAAUAUUGGUCAAUGGACGCAAGUCUGAACCAGCCAAGUAGCGUGCAGGAUGACGGCCCUCCGGGUUGUAAACUGCUUUUAGUUGGGAAUAAAAAAAGGGACGUGUCCCUUAUUGUAUGUACCUUCAGAAAAAGGACCGGCUAAUUCCGUGCCAGCAGCCGCGGUAAUACGGAAGGUCCAGGCGUUAUCCGGAUUUAUUGGGUUUAAAGGGAGCGUAGGCGGAUUGUUAAGUCAGCGGUUAAAGGGUGUGGCUCAACCAUACAUUGCCGUUGAAACUGGCGAUCUUGAGUGCAGACAGGGAUGCCGGAAUUCGUGGUGUAGCGGUGAAAUGCUUAGAUAUCACGAAGAACUCCGAUCGCGAAGGCAGGUGUCCGGGCUGCAACUGACGCUGAGGCUCGAAAGUGUGGGUAUCAAACAGGAUUAGAUACCCUGGUAGUCCACACAGUAAACGAUGUAUACUCGCGGUUUGCGAUAGAUUGUAAGCCGCCAAGCGAAAGCAUUAAGUAUACCACCUGGGGAGUACGCCGGCAACGGUG